CCGCUCCGGCAGAACCUUUCUGGCGCUGUACGGCGCGCUAGUUAGCACGCCACUUCCGGCGGGGUGGAGGAGGCGGGAGAGAGGGAAAGGCUGGAAAACGAGGAUGCUUCCGCAGUGAGAAGGAGGCUGCUGCGCGAUGGCCGUUUUCGACACUCCCGAGGAGGCCUUCGGGGCCUUGCGCCCCGUCUGUGUUCAGCUCACCAAGACGCAGACGGUGGAGACGGUGGAGCGCCUGCGCGCGCAACUGCAGGCGGUGAGCGACUCGGCCCUUCAGGAGCUCCAGCAGUACGUCCUCUUCCCGCUGCGGUUCGCGCUGAAGACGCCGGGUCCCAAGAGAGAGCGCUUGAUCCAGAGCGUGGUGGAAUGCCUCACGUUCGUCCUCUCUUCCACCUGCGUGAGGGAACGAGAGCUCCUCCAGGAGCUCUUCUCCGAGCUCUCCGCGUGCCUGUAUUCGCCCAGCGCCCGGCAGCCCGCGGCUGUGUCCGAGGAGCUGAAGCUGGCCGUGAUCCAGGGCCUCAGCACGCUGAUGCACUCGGCUUACGGGGACACCAUCCUGGCUUUUUACGAGCCCUCCAUCCUGCCUCGGUUAGGAUUUGCCGUAUCUUUACUGUUGGACCUCGCAGAACAGGAGAAAUCCAAGCAAAUUAAAGUGGCUGCCUUAAAAUGUCUGCAGGUUCUCCUCUUCCAGUGCGACUGUCAGGACCACCCGAGGUCCCUGGAUGAGCUUGAACAGAAACAGCUGGGGGAUUUGUUUGCUUCUUUUUUACCUGGAAUCUCAAUGGCACUGACCCGGGUGAUCACGGGAGACUUUAAGCAAGGGCACAGCAUUGUCGUGUCUUCCCUAAAGAUCUUUUACGAGACAGUGAGUUUCAUUAUGGCUGACAAACAUCUCGAAAGGACCUCCGACGCCCAACCGAAGCCUGCCUCUGUGGAGCCCAGAGUCGCAGAGCUGAUGGUUCACAGGGAAGCCAAGUGGGUAAAAAACACCAGCGACAAACUGACCAUCCUUAUUAAAAAGAUAACUGAGUGUGUUUCCAUCCAUCCACACUGGAAGGUGAGGCUAGCCCUGACAGAACUCAUCGAGGCCCUUCUCUUGAAGUGCAGUCAGUCCCUGGUCGACUCGGCCGGACCCCUUCUGAAGGCUUUGGUGGGUCUAGUAAAUGAUGAGAGUCCCGAGGUCCAAACCCAGUGCAGUAAAGUUCUGAGACAUUUCGCAGAUCGGAAAGUAGUGGUCGGCAACAGAGCCUUUGCGGACAUCUUGUCAGAAAACCUCCAUUCCCUCGCCACGUCACUGCCCCGCCUCAUGAACUCCCAGGACGAUCAAGGCAAAUUCUCUACUCUCUCCCUGUUACUCGGUUAUCUGAAACUCCUGGGCCCCGAAGUGAACUUCGUCCUCCGCUCUGCGGCCCAUCUUCAGCGCCUUUCCAAAGCGCUCAUCCAAGUGCUGGAAUUGGACGUGGCCGACAUCAAGGUCGUCGAAGAGCGGCGCCGGCCUUCUGGUGGUCUGAGCUCGUCUCCAGAGAGCGCGGCUCUGCUGCAGAGGAGGUACUUCCGCUUCUUCACCGACGAGAGGCUUUUCCUGCUUUUGCAGCAGCUGUGUCAGCUCCUCGGGUUUUAUGGCGACCUCUGUCUGCUCGUCGAUCACUUUAUGGAGCUCUACCACGAGUCCGUGGUUUACCGGAAGCAAGCUGCCAUGAUCCUGAAUGAGCUGGUUGUGGGGGCUGCUGGGCUGGAGGUGGAGAAUCUUCACGAAAACCACAUUAAAACAAGCCCGGAGGAACUGAAAGAGAUCGUGACCACUGUACUUGAAGAAUACACGAGCCAAGAAAACUGGUAUUUGGUCACCUGUAUCGAAUCUGAGGAAGGGGGAGAGGAGCUAACAAUGAAGCAGUCAGGCCUCCAGGCCAUCACAUCUGCUGCACACACCUGCCAAGUCACAUCUUUCCCAGCCUUCUCAAAGCCAGGUCCCACUAUCUGCUCCAUGAACAGCAACAUCUGGCAAAUAUGCAUCCAGUUGGAAGGGAUCGGCCGCUUUGCGUAUGCACUGGGAAAAGACUUCCGUCUGCUCUUGAUGUCAGCCCUCUAUCCAGUCCUGGAGAAGGCUGGGGACCAAACCCUGCUCAUUAGUCAGGCAGCCACAGGCGCCAUGCUGGACAUUUGCCACGCCUGUGGCUACGACUCUCCGCAGCACCUAAUCAGUCAAAAUUCGGACUAUUUGGUGAAUGGGAUCUCUUUAAAUCUGCGUCAUCUGUCUCUGCACCCCCAUACCCCAAAGGUCUUGGAAGUCAUGCUGUGGAACUCGGAUGCUAGCCUGCUUCCUUUGGUGGCAGAUGUGGUUCAGGAUGUCUUGGCCACUCUGGACCAAUUUUAUGAUAAGAGAGCUACUUCCUUUGUGGGUGUCCUCCAUGCCUUGCUGGCAGCAUUAGCCCAGUGGUUCCCAGACACAGGUGAUCUCGGGCAACCCCAAGAGCAGAGUGCAGGGGAGGAGGGAAGUCAUUUGAGCCAAAAACCAGCAGCUCCUGAGAAUACCGCCACAGCAGAAGACAUUGAACAAUUUUUGCUGAACUACCUCAAAGAAAAGGAUGUGGCAGAUGGCAAUGUCUCAGAUUUUGAUAAUGAAGAAGAGGAGCAGUCAGAGCCUCCGAAGGUGGACGACAGUGACACUGGUCCCGAUGUGGAGCCCCCGCUGCCAGUGCACAUCCAGAUAGCCAAAGAUGUGAUGGAGCGCUGCAUCCACCUGCUGUCCGAUAAGAACCUGAUGAUCCGCUUGAAGAUCUUGGAUGUGCUGGAUUUGUGCGUGGUUGUGCUGCAGUCCCACAAGAACCAGCUCCUUCCCUUGGCUCAUCGGGCCUGGCCCUCGCUCGUGCGCCGACUCACCAGUGACGACCCCCUGGUGGUGCUCAGAGCCUUCAAGGUCUUGCGUACCCUGGGAGGCAAGUGUGGCGACUUUCUGAGGAGCCGAUUCUGCAAAGACAUCCUGCCCCAGCUGGCCGGCUCCUUAGUCACCCAGGCUCCCGUCAGCGCCCGGGCCGGACCGGUGUACACGCACACGCUGGCCUUCAAGCUACAGCUGGCCGUUCUGCAGGGCCUGGGCCCCCUCUGCGAGAGACUGGACCUCGGUGAGGGUGACCUGAAUAAAGUGGCUGAUGCCUGCUUGAUUUACCUCAGCGCCAAACAGCCCGUGAAAUUACAAGAGGCUGCCAGGAGGCCCAGAAUCAGUCAUGGUUUCUUGAGCACAGGGGCGCAUCCCAACCAGCUUCUUACCCUCAGACAUUCUUGUUCCUUCAAGAACCAACUUCGGGUGAAAAUAGCCCUCCCCCUCCGGGUGGUGUUCCGGAAACUGCUCUCACACUGAUUUCAGGUACAACUCAAGAAGGUAAUGAAUUCAUCUUGAAGUAAAUUCUCUGUGUGCCUGUUAACAACCAAGAGUCACAAAUAUCUGACUUUCCCAUUCUCUGUCCCAUUCUUCUUUUCCUCCACCCACCCCAUACCCGUCCUUCCAGUUCAGACCCAUCAAACAAGCUAAUAUUCGCCAUUCAUUAUCUUUUCAUUUCUAAUUUUCUUUUGUGCCGCUAAAAGCAAUUAAACCUGGAAUUGGACCUUGCUGAGUCUUGAGUUGGUAUUCAGGGUGCCUCUGGAGGAGGAAAAUGCAGCCAGACCACUUGACUGCUGCGCCUUUGUUUGCUCUAGCGCAUUCCAUUCGGGGUUGAGUCAGAUGACCUCCCUCUUGCCAGCCUGGGAGGGGAGGAAGUGCAGGGUUGAUUGGUUCACAAACACAUCAUCUGCAAACUUAUUUUGAAGCCAAGGGAAAAAAAAAACCAGCGUUGUCCUUGAUCAGGAGCUGAUUUGGCAUCUUGAUUCAGAAAUUAAUAAGCUCCGUAAAUAGGAGAAGAAUCCGGAGACAAUGGGAAACCUGGUCUCUUUGUGAGCCUCGUUAUUGAAGGAAGGGAGGGCGGUGAGGUGGGGGUGGUUUGGUACUGAAACACUGCGUGCCUGGUCCCCUGGCUCAGGGAGCGCUUACACCCCAUAUCCAUUCCAGAAGGGAAGCCUGUCCACCUGACUUACAGACUCUCUCUUCAGACUAUCCGCAUCUCCUCGCCGGCCCCCUCCCCCCACUCCUGCCCCUGUGUAUCCCCCACGCAGCAGGCACUGACGCCCGCUACACACUCAUGGGAGAAGGGAAGGUUGUUGUGUUUGUUGUUUGUUGCCAGGGCCCAAGAGGGAGCCCCGUGGCUUAGUGUUCAGCCUCCGGCCUCGGCUAAGUGUUCAAAAGAACCAGUGAGAGAGCCAGAGCCGUCCACAGAUGCCCUGGCUUCCUCGGAGCUAGGUUUUCCUCCACCUGAUGAAGGUGGACCCCGACUGCAUCUGGUUUCUCCUGAAUGAACUUUACUGCCCCGAGCAGCUCACAC
Mustela erminea (ermine) is the source of this 4409-nucleotide RNA transcript. It is a transcript of the gene named TELO2 interacting protein 1, with no coding region annotated. The transcript is spliced from 9 exons. Lineage: Eukaryota; Metazoa; Chordata; Mammalia; Carnivora; Mustelidae. The record is from RefSeq and is a predicted model, not a curated record.